This 254-nucleotide ribosomal RNA is filed under the name uncultured bacterium. RNAcentral's name for it is "partial 16S ribosomal RNA". It matches the Rfam family "Bacterial small subunit ribosomal RNA", at positions 524 to 776 of the family's 1533-position model. The record is from RNAcentral.
CACGUAGGGGCCAAGCGUUGUCCGGAUUUAUUGGGCGUAAAGAGCUCGUAGGCGGUUCGACAAGUCGGGUGUGAAAACUCCGGGCUCAACCCGGAGACGCCACCCGAUACUGUCGUGACUGGAGUCCGGUAGGGGAGUGGGGAAUUCCUGGUGUAGCGGUGAAAUGCGCAGAUAUCAGGAGGAACACCAAUUGCGAAGGCAGCUCGCUGGGACGUUACUGACGCUGAGACGCGAAAGCGUGGGGAGCAAACAGG